This 308-nucleotide long non-coding RNA is filed under the name Ananas comosus (pineapple). Its description in RNAcentral is "long non-coding RNA (ACOM_LNC019654)". The record is from RNAcentral. Lineage: Eukaryota; Viridiplantae; Streptophyta; Magnoliopsida; Poales; Bromeliaceae.
ACCAUUACGACGAAGAAGAAGCAGCCGCAGCGCGUCCGCGUCGUCGUCGUCUCCACCAUCGUCGUCUCCACCAUCUUUGUCUUCUCCAUCUUCGUCUCCACCAUCGUCGUCGUCGUCGUCGUCGACGAUGUCUGUGGUGGGUGGGUUGGAGUGCGUGGUGUGCGUGGGGUGCUCGCGCUGGGCGUGGAAGCGCCUCAACUACGUCGGGGCCUACGACAGCGAGUCGUGGCUCCUGUCCUCGCCCGCGCGCCACGGCCCCUGUCCUCGCCCGCGCGCCGCAUGCGCCAUGCGCGCCCGCGCAAAGCGUG